RNAcentral lists this ribosomal RNA (421 nucleotides) under uncultured Glomeromycotina. RNAcentral's name for it is "SSU rRNA". It matches the Rfam family "Eukaryotic small subunit ribosomal RNA", at positions 673 to 1092 of the family's 1831-position model. The record is from RNAcentral. Lineage: Eukaryota; Fungi; Glomeromycota.
GUACGUACUGGCAUCGUCGGUUUCUCCCUUCUGACGAACCAUGAUGUUAUUUAUUUGGUGUUGUGGGGAAUCAGGACUGUUACUUUGAAAAAAUUAGAGUGUUUAAAGCAGGCUCACGCUUGAAUACAUUAGCAUGGAAUAAUGAAAUAGGACGUUUGAUUCUAUUUUGUUGGUUUCUAGGAUCGACGUAAUGAUUAAUAGGGAUAGUUGGGGGCAUUAGUAUUCAAUUGUCAGAGGUGAAAUUCUUGGAUUUAUUGAAGACUAACUACUGCGAAAGCAUUUGCCAAGGAUGUUUUCAUUAAUCAAGAACGAAAGUUAGGGGAUCGAAGACGAUCAGAUACCGUCGUAGUCUUAACUAUAAACUAUGCCGACUAGGGAUCGGAUGAUGUUAAUUUUUUAAUGACUCAUUCGGCGCCUUACG